ACAACGAAGACUGCGAUAGGACCA
RNAcentral lists this non-coding RNA (24 nucleotides) under Arabidopsis thaliana (thale cress). Lineage: Eukaryota; Viridiplantae; Streptophyta; Magnoliopsida; Brassicales; Brassicaceae. The record is from RNAcentral.